RNAcentral lists this unclassified non-coding RNA (371 nucleotides) under Hevea brasiliensis (rubber tree). Lineage: Eukaryota; Viridiplantae; Streptophyta; Magnoliopsida; Malpighiales; Euphorbiaceae. The record is from RNAcentral.
AUUUUAAUGAUAUUCAAAUUGAAGAGAUUUUUAUUAUACAAAUUAAAAUUAAGGGUUAUUAUUGAUAGAACUAACUAAGUUGAGAGACUAUAAGUGAAAUUAACCCCUCAUUUGUCAAAUAGAGUCUUGUUACUUUGACCAUGUGGUGAGAAUCCGGAGCCUACCACUUGAUUAUUUGAUGAGAAGAAUUUCGAUUAAGCUAAGAUUAGAGGUAUAAAUUAUUAUCAGUAGAUUAUAAAACAUUAUAUCAUAAUAACACCGAAGCCAUGUCUAGAGCUCCAAACUUUUGAAACCCUAACUAGGAUUUCUCUUUAUCUUAUCAAUUUCUAUUUGCUAUGUUUUCCUUCAGACGAUGCAGUACUAAACGGUGA